Non-coding RNA from Paramuricea clavata, 76 nucleotides. The record is from the annotation of a GenBank genome assembly. Lineage: Eukaryota; Metazoa; Cnidaria; Anthozoa; Malacalcyonacea; Plexauridae.
CACUGAUAAAAGUGAUAAUCUCGCAUGUGAGAUUAUCAUAAAUAAUCUCACAUGUGAGAUUAUCACUUUUCAAUUC